GGGCUUGUACUGGUUUCGACGGGGAUUUUGAACAUAGGGCAGCCAUCCGUGGUUCCGGGACCACGCUAAAACCUGGAAUUAAAUAUAAUCGCUGAAGAACAUUUAGCAUUCGCUGCCUAAGGGCAGCUGUCGGCCCUGAUUUGUCCGCUGGUCAGGAAACCGGCACCAUGUAGGCGGAACCCUCGUGCCCCUAAGCUUUGCCGGGUAUGAAGUAUGAUGAAGCUACUGAAGUCCGUAGUUUGCUUUUAGACGACGGAUAGAGGGAAUGUCAAAAUAGAGGCUGUGAUGGGAGAUACCGUAUGGGAUGGAUUUUCGGACGCGGGUUCGAUUCCCGCCAGGUCCA
Molecule: transfer-messenger RNA, 343 nt
Filed under: uncultured Anaerobutyricum sp.
Lineage: Bacteria; Bacillati; Bacillota; Clostridia; Lachnospirales; Lachnospiraceae
Rfam family: transfer-messenger RNA
About the family: Bacterial tmRNA, also known as 10Sa RNA or SsrA, is named for its dual tRNA and mRNA-like properties.
Source: RNAcentral